This is an RNA transcript of Vespa crabro (European hornet), 962 nucleotides long. It is a transcript of the gene named NADH dehydrogenase [ubiquinone] 1 subunit C2, with no coding region annotated. Lineage: Eukaryota; Metazoa; Arthropoda; Insecta; Hymenoptera; Vespidae. The record is from RefSeq and is a predicted model, not a curated record. The transcript is spliced from 5 exons.
AGUUCCGAUAGAGUGUGUUACUAGUAAGUACUUAGGAUGAACUUUUAAAGUUUAUUAGUUUUUCGCUGACUAUUUUAAACAAAAUAUUUUACAAAAAUGAGCACUAAUCCUAAUAUUCAAUGGGCCUUGGAUAUACUUACACCCGAUCCUGAUUAUAAACCUUCUCUUUGGGAAAAAUAUGGAAUGUUAGUUGGAACGCCAAUAGUAUUGGUUGCAGGAGCAUGUUUCCGAAAUUCAUUUCUGAAAAGACCCUUACAUGCAGGUCUUCAGGUACAUAUUGCACUAACAGUAAUAGGUCUUGCAGCAGGAUAUAAAAUGCAUGAGUUUGUUGAUAACCACUCUGCAAAAAGAGAUCAGAUGCUUCGUCAUUAUGUUAUGUUGCAUCCAGAAGAUUUUCCUCCGCCUGAACGUAAAAAGUGGGGUGAAGUGUUUGAACCUUGGUAUCCAAUUCGUUAAAUAAUAUAGUUAUUUAAACUAUAUUGUACUAGAUCAGAUUAUAAUUAUCGUUGUAUAAUCCAGUACCUUUUGCGUCUCCCAACCAGGGGUAUUUAUAAGGACAUUCUCUACAUGUUUCCAAAUACCUGUAAAAUUAUUAUAUUACAUUUGUAGUGAAGUUGGAUUCUGGAGGCUUAAAGUCCAAAGCACAUUUAUUUGGAUUAUUACAAGGUGGUCCAGGAAUAUUUUCUUUUUUCUUACAUGACCAACCUUCAAAAUUAUUUAAAGAUUUAACUGGUUUUGGAUCAGUUAUCCAAGUUAAUGCUUGUGUGGCAGUCACAAAGUAAACAUCUGGUCUGUAAAAAAAAAAGAAUUUUAUUAAGAUAUGGUGAGCUUUAAUUAUUUAUAAAUUGUUAAUUUUUGAAUAUCUAAAUCUCAGAGAAUUUGAAUUUAACAGAAACUCAAGUGUUUUAUAAAAAAUAUGUUGACUAUAAAUUAGCAUGAAAUAUAUAUGACCAAUAAUCAUA